GCCUACUCACCAUCUGGUCAGGGGAGAGCAGUCCCCGCUGGAUCAUUCCUCGGAAGGAAUACAACGGGAGGCUGUCUGUUUCUGAUGGGGAGUCUCUGAAGAUCAUGAAUCUGACUUGUGAAGACAACGGAUAUUAUGAAGCUCAUAUCAUAUCAGUCUCAGGAGAGAUAUAUAUUGAAAAGUUCAAUUUAACUGUCCUUGGCACUGUGACUAUAGAGUCUAACACAAAUCCAUGGAUUUGGUUGUCCCUGCUUGGCAUCCCGAUGUUCCUGGUGGCAGUUUGGUGUUUUCCUCAUAAAGUAAAGAGUUUCCCUUGCAAAAUCAGAGGCAUUCUCACGAAAGGAAACAUACAAGCAGUAGUGUAUCACGGGAAUGAGAGAAGACUAGAGGAGGGCUUGACAACUUGACCAAAUGACUUCCAUUCAGAUCAAAAAACACACUGAAGACACCUAUGAAGAGCCUUGCCAACUGCAAACACAAGAUCAUGGAAUUAUGCUGGGCAGAGUCUGCAUGCCACAGGAGACCAGCUGAGAGCAACAUGGACAAGAGCAACCCAACAAAUAUCGACCAACAAAGACAUUGUCCAUCCUAAAGUCUUAGAGGCUUGCACUGAUUUUUCCAGACCUGUGCCCUGGGCACAGAUUACCACAAGUGUGGCCUACACGUGUCCAUGCUUCCCUUUGAUGGGGUAUAU
This is a long non-coding RNA of Vombatus ursinus (common wombat), 694 nucleotides long. RefSeq lists it as uncharacterized. The transcript has 4 exons. The record is from RefSeq and is a predicted model, not a curated record. NCBI's taxonomy places the organism in Eukaryota, Metazoa, Chordata, Mammalia, Diprotodontia, Vombatidae.